Molecule: long non-coding RNA, 364 nt
Organism: Centrocercus urophasianus (Greater sage-grouse)
Lineage: Eukaryota; Metazoa; Chordata; Aves; Galliformes; Phasianidae
Exons: 3
Source: RefSeq, a predicted model, not a curated record
GGGCUGACUGCUUCAGGGAAGGAUCUCUGGUUGGAGAUCUGUCCUUUGUGAAGAUUUUCCUGUGAGCCUAGAUCUUUGGAGACUGAUUUUUCUCCUAUGGUUGGUGAACUGCACAAGCUAGAAAUCACUUCCUGUACCCACUGGAUGCAACACUCCCUGUGUUGAGAAGUCAGACAGAUGCUGUCUGGAUAAUGAGGAGGUGGUUAGGAUUUCAUCAUUUCAUUUCAUGAUUUUCAGCAUUUUAUUAAGAUCUCCAUAUUGCUAGAUUGCAUUCAACUUUUCCACGAGUGCUGCAGAAUAAGAAAGAAGGGGAAAAAAGGAGUCUGUCUUCAGCUUUUCAAACCACACUGAGAAGAAGCAGGUA